This 253-nucleotide ribosomal RNA is filed under the name uncultured bacterium. Its description in RNAcentral is "partial 16S ribosomal RNA". It matches the Rfam family "Bacterial small subunit ribosomal RNA", at positions 524 to 776 of the family's 1533-position model. The record is from RNAcentral.
UACGGGGGGGGCAAGCGUUACUCGGAAUUAUUGGGCGUAAAGGGCGCGUAGGCGAUUUGAAAAGUCUUGUGUGAAAGCCCCGAGCUUAACUCGGGAAGUGCACAAGAAACUGUUGAAUUUGAGUUCCGGAGAGGAAGGCAGAAUUCCCGGUGUAGCGGUGAAAUGCGUAGAUAUCGGGAGGAAUACCAGUGGCGAAGGCGGCCUUCUGGACGGAUACUGACGCUGAGGCGCGAAAGCCAGGGGAGCAAACGGG